RNA transcript from Callithrix jacchus (white-tufted-ear marmoset), 6019 nucleotides. It is a transcript of the gene named diphthamine biosynthesis 6, with no coding region annotated. Lineage: Eukaryota; Metazoa; Chordata; Mammalia; Primates; Cebidae. The record is from RefSeq and is a predicted model, not a curated record.
GGCCUGCACCGCCGAUUCGCUGACAGGCGGCCGAGCGAACACCCGGGCGAGGCCCAGCGGCGCGUCACGCAAGCGGCGGCGAAGACCUCCCGCCUCCCGCCCUCGCUCGCCGCACGCACGCGCACUGCGCCCAGCAUGAGGGUCGCGGCUCUGAUCAGCGGUGGGAAGGACAGCUGCUAUAAUAUGAUGCAGUGCAUUGCUGCUGGACAUCAGAUUGUUGCUUUAGCAAAUCUAAGACCAGCUGAAAACCAAGUGGGGUCUGAUGAACUGGAUAGCUACAUGUAUCAAACAGUGGGUCACCAUGCCAUUGACUUGUAUGCAGAAGCAAUGGCUCUUCCCCUCUAUCGGCGAACCAUAAGAGGAAGGAGCCUGGAUACAAGACAAGUGUACACCAAAUGUGAAGGUGAUGAGGUUGAAGAUCUCUAUGAGCUUUUGAAACUUGUUAAGGAAAAAGAAGAAAUAGAGGGGAUAUCAGUAGGUGCUAUACUUUCUGACUAUCAGCGUGUUCGAGUGGAAAAUGUGUGUACAAGGCUUAAUCUCCAGCCUUUAGCCUACCUUUGGCAGAGAAACCAGGAAGAUUUGCUCAGAGAAAUGAUAUCAUGUAACAUUCAAGCAGUGAUCAUCAAAGUAGCAGCUUUGGGCUUAGAUCCUGAUAAGCAUCUUGGGAAAACCCUGGAUCAAAUGGAGCCUUAUCUUGUAGAGCUUUCGAAGAAGUAUGGAGUACAUGUUUGUGGAGAAGGUGGAGAGUAUGAAACUUUCACUUUGGAUUGCCCUCUAUUUAAGAAGAAAAUAAUUGUACAAGGAAACCUAAGCCUGACAGAGACAGUGGCAUGAAGGGAAUUACUCAUGCUUUUAAAGAGAAGAUGUCAGGGAAGGUGGUUAGAACCCUCUAGUACUAACAUGAGCUGUUCAGUGCAAAAUGUGAGUACAACUCUGCAAUGCUGCCCUGCUCUGUAGGGAGUGCUUCCUGUAACCUAAGAGAUGGACAGGCAAAUCAACAAUAAGUGGUUAUAACUUGAAGUUACAGUUGGGAAAUAUCGUCAUUUGGUAGAAAAAGGAUAUCACUUAAUGUAAACAAAAUCUCCCGUCCUCUUUAAAAUUGAAAUUUCCUAAGUAUACCUGCCUAAUAUACACUAAAUAUGAAGAUGUGAGUGGACAUGUUUUGUGCAUUAUAAAACUGUAUGUAAAUUAAAGUUUUAUUAUUUAGAUAUAAUCAUCUGUAUAAUACAAUUAAAAGAUGAGCUUAAUUCCUAUAAUUGUUUUUUAACAAUUGACUCUUAAUAAUUCUGGAUCCAAUCAUUUAGAAUUCAUUUUGGGGACAAAGUUAAUAACUUUUAUUAUAUUUGAUGUAAUAGUGGUCUGCCACAAUUAGCAUGCAACUAAUCAUUUACUUGGAAUCCCAUUUCAAAUGUCUGAUUCAAAUUUUAUUUUUUGUAAAAAAAAAGUAGACUACCUCUAAGGUGACAAAAAAUAAACUUUUACAAGCAAAAUUAUUUGAUUAUAAUUAGAGAUCUUUAAAACAGGAUUGAAUCUUUUUUGUAUAAUGGAGUAAUUUAGAGAGAUCAGGGUAGUUCUGGAAGUUUAUUAUGCCAGGGUGCUGUGGCUCACACCUGUAAUCACAACACUUUGAGAGGCCAGAGCAAGAAGAUCACUUGAAACCAGCAGUUCAAGGCUGCAGUCAGCUAUAAUUGCACCACUGAACUCCAUCCUGGGCAACAUUGCAAGACCCUGUCUAUAAAAAAAAAUAUGAAUAACAGUAAUAAAAAAUAAUAAAUAAAUAGAAGUUUAUUGUGAAAUACCUUUUGGCCAAAUUCCAGUUCACAUUUUAAAAUGUUUUUAGAAAAGACUGGUAUAACAGUCUUUGUUGGAAGUAAUUUUUUAUAUUUCUACCUAGAAUCGUUUACAAUUCACUUUUUGUAUCUAUUAAUAUAUGAAGUCACUCACCUCUAGAUACAAAUUUUGAAAUGAGAAAAUGAGGUUUUCUUCCCAUAGAAGCCCCCUGGGAAGAAUUAUAGCCUAGCUUUUAAGAGACAAGGAUAAUUGUAGGUCCUCAAAGUAAAAACCUGCUUUCUUAUUAUUUACUUUAUAUAUAUAUUAUUUGAAUAACUAAAAUUUUAAAGUUGUGUUAAUGAAAGAAAUCAUUUUCUUGUUUCUGUUCAUGAAUACAUUUUUAUGUCAGUAUUUGAGAUAAUUCUAUAGUUCUAUUUGAAUCAUUAGUAUAUUAUUGCUACAAAGUUGCUACUUAUGUGAUGGAUGGAUGAUGGAUGGAUGGGUGGAUGGAAGAAUAAGAAUGAAAAAAAGAAUAAAGGAAGAACCAAAUCCUAUGGUUAAAAUACUGUAUCCUCAUUUUCAUCCCCACCUACUCAUAUUUUCUGCCCACUUAAGGCAUAACUAUAACUAGUACAGAACACUGUAAUACAGAGUAUCAGAAUGAGGAAGAAGCAAGUACUCUACCUUAAUUGCCUUCUUACAUUGAUUCUGUAUCAUCUGAGAUUAUUUAAAUUUAUGAACCAUUUCCUUACAUUUAAAUUCUCUGACAUAUUAAUCUUUAUUUUUGUUGUGCUAGAGAUAUCAUAUAGUGCUAUUGGUAUAUAUGUGCAUACAUGAAUAUGUUUAUAUAUGCAAUAUGUAUGUAUAAGAAAGUGUGUACAGUUGUGAGAGACUUCAUGUGGAAACAUUCUGAGAAAUGCAUUGUUUGGCAAUUUUGUCAUUUUGUAAGCACCAGAGAUACACCUAGGCUAUAUGCUCCUAGGCUACAAACCUGGACAGCAUAUUACUGUACUUGAGACUAUGAUUAACUGUAACAAAGUGGUGAUAUUUGUAUAUCUAAAUGUAUCUCAACAUAGAAAAGGUACAGUAAAAAUAUGAUAUAAAAAAAAUUUUAAAUGAUACACCUGUAUAGGGCACUUACCAUGAAUGGAGCUUGCAGGACUGGAAGUUGCUAUGGGUGAUUCAGUGAAUGAGUGGUGAGUAAAUGUGAAGGUGUAGGACAUUACUGUAUACUUUAAAAACACUGUAUUCUUAAUCUACACUAAGUUCAUUUUAAAAAUUAAAUUGUGCUACAACAUUAUGACAGCUAUGAUGUCACAAAGUGAUAGGAAUUUUUCAGCUCCAUUAUAAUCUAAGGGCACCACCCUAAUACACAGUCGGGUUUUAACCAAAAAUGGCAUCAUGUGGCACUGACUAUAUUACAUAUAGAUAGGUAAUUUAAAAAUCAUUGUUGAGUUUCUAAUCGUUUCACUAAUUGGUAUGUAAUUGUGAGGAUACUUAUUAAGUUUAACUGUACAUUUAUUUAUUCAACAAAUAUCUAAUAAAUACCAGGCAAUGUACUUUUUACAGAGCUCAGGGCAGGGUAGAACAGGGACAGGCAGACAAAGAUGAAAAAAAUUGUUUCCUCUCUCAGAAGAAAGGCACACAAACAUGUAAUUGUAAUGUAGUGGUUGUGUUAUGAAAGGACUAUAAAUGUGAUACAAAGCACAUAGAGGAGAAAACUAGCACCAUCUGAGGAUGUCAGGGAAGGCCUCAUGGAAGUAACAUUUGAGAUGUCUGUGAGAAUAAGUAUGAGUCCAUGGAGAAUAUCUGUAUACCUUUUAGUGAACAUAGAAACCAUAUGUUUGAGCAAGAGAGGUUAACAGUGGUUCAGUCCCAGCCUAGCAUAGUUGUCCUUUUAGAGGAGAGGUGGGGACCAAGACCAUGGCUGAGUCUCAAGAGGGAAUACCAGUUUUUUUGUUUUUGAGGUGGGAGGUAGGGCCUGAUUCCACACCUCAGGAGUCUGAUAUCAAGGAAGAGAGGUCCAAGCCAAACCUAGCUGCCCUUUUGGUGUUGUUAAGUAAAGGUGAGCCUACUGUAGUAAUUAAAGAGAACAUGAGCAUGCUCUUGGCUGUGGAAAAGACACAGCUAUAUGACAGGUGGUAACUGCUGUACCGAUUACUUAUAUUAAUGGAGAAAGGAGAGGAGGACAGCCAGCUGGGAAGCAUUUUUGCUGUAGCAAAAUGGUCUUAAUUUUCUGGAUUAAUCAGAGAAUAUUCUGACAGAUUCUGCUUUUAGGGUUCAGGGAAACCUGUGAAGCAGAGACCAGAGUUCCUUGAAAUUUGAAUGUCAGGUGGUGGUAUAUGAGAGAGAAGAGCAAUAGUGAGUGGUAUUAUUCUGCUCGAAACUAAGGGCUGUUGAUUUGAAAUCCAGUCUCUCCCAGUUGACUCUUGCUUUGUAUAAGUGAAUGAAAUGAUGUUAGUCAAUAAGAGAUUAUGAAUUUAAUAGAAUUCAUAAAAAUCACCGUCUUUAUUUAGUGCUCAGAAUGUCAUAUAUUCUCUCUGGAUAACAAUCUUGACUCAAAUCAUUUAAACUAUUUGCUGUCAUCCCUCUGUUUCUAGUGGGAUUAAUUGACAUGAGAAGGGAGGGCCUAAAAUCCUUUCUACUGAGAUAAUAUUAGUUCAGAUUAAUUAUACUUUUGGCACACCCCAUUGUCAAUAAUAUCAAAACCAAACUGCCUGAAUUAGAUAUAGUUAAGGGUCAGGGUCAAUUUCCAAGGCUAAGGUCUGGAACAGAGAUACUAAUAGUAAAAUUGUAAAUAGAAAUUGAGGUUUGACUAAAGAGCCAGGAUAUGACCAGAGCAGGCAACGGUCGAGGAAAUGGAAAAACAUUAAGACUAGGGUUAACAAACCAAGUUGGGGUCAAGCCAGAGGGACAGGUGGUAGCAAGCAGAAGGGCCUCCUCUGUACUUUCUGUUUCUGCUGCCACUCCUCAUCAUACCUGGAGGCAUCUUUGGUUGAUGUAGACUGUGAAGGCAAAUUAUCUUUCCAUCAGGAUUCUGAAUCUUUAAUCAUUCUAUGUCUCUUAUAAGUUGCCUUCCUUUUAAUGUUGUGGAAGCCUGUUUAAUGUUUUUUUUUUUUAAGCAUUAGAAAGAUGCGUAUUUGAUACUAAAGGUUUAUGAAUGAUAAUUGGGGUUUUUUUAAUCAUUAAAUUGACUUUUUUUGAUCUUUCAAGUGGAAGGUAAACAUUUUGCUUAAUUAAUUAAUAAUUUGGAGCCAAAUAUUUUGAGAUUUCUUCUGUUGCCACCCAGUUACUUUGCAUGAUACAAGUUGAUUCAAAAAUAUUUUUAUAUUAGUCACAAAAAGUCAAUGUCAGGAUUUAUUUUGCUAUGCUAUAAUAGUCAAAAUGCUGUCUAUUUAAAUAAUAGAAGUACCUCCCAAGGCAUUAAAGAGAUAUGAGGAAUUUCCAUUUUUAAAUUUUCACUUGAAAUUCAAAACAUUAUUACUCUCUUAAUAAACAAUAAAAAUCAUUAGUUUUUUGAACUUUACACAUAAUCUUAGUUAUUCGUAUGUGCUUUACAGGGUAUCUUUGAUAAAAGUUGAGUUAAUUUACAUGUAUCCAUAUGGUGCCAGCAUGCAGUUCAUACCAUUUUACCUGAAUGUGGUAAUUACUAUGUCAGACAAUCAAUUUUAAUAGCAAUGAUACUGCAGUGUGAAGAGUUCAUCUAGAGCCUAAAACCGUCACCAGUACUGCUUUCAUGAAAGAUAAUUGAGAUUUUGUGUGAAACAUUGAAUGAAUUACCUCUUGAAAAUGAAAAGAAUAAUGAAGAUAAAGCACUAAUGUUUAAUGCUUAGCCUAUACCAAGCAAAUAUGUGGAAAUGAAAUUGAACAGAAAUUUAAGUCUUAACACUGUUUAGAGAGCUUUGAGUGAACCUGAAAGUUGAACUCUUAUGUUUUUAUGAAAAUAGAAAGCUUCAUUGUUUUUUCUUAAAAGUUUAGUAUUCUUGAACCUUUUACCAAUUAAAUACUGGAAUAUUAAAAAUAUGUAUUAGUCACUACAUGUUGUAUACCAAUGGAAAUCAAUAUAAAAUAAGAAUUGUCAGUCUUAUUUAGUCAGUAGAAGGAGUGAUUUAUCAUAGUUUAUGUAGCAUAUAAAUGUAUUAUAAAAUUUUUUUCUUUCAGGGAUUCAUCAGAAGUAAUCAUACAUUCAGCUGAUGCAUUUGCACCUGUGGCUUAUCUACGCUUUUUAGAAUUGCACUUGGAGGACAAG